This 253-nucleotide ribosomal RNA is filed under the name uncultured Desulfocapsa sp. RNAcentral describes it as "partial 16S ribosomal RNA". It matches the Rfam family "Bacterial small subunit ribosomal RNA", at positions 524 to 776 of the family's 1533-position model. The record is from RNAcentral. Lineage: Bacteria; Pseudomonadati; Thermodesulfobacteriota; Desulfobulbia; Desulfobulbales; Desulfocapsaceae.
UACGGAGGGUGCAAGCGUUGUUCGGAAUUACUGGGCGUAAAGCGCGCGUAGGCGGUUUGUUAAGUCAGAUGUGAAAGCCCAUGGCUCAACCAUGGACGUGCAUUUGAAACUGGCAGACUUGAGUAUGGCAGAGGGUGGUGGAAUUUCCUGUGUAGCGGUGAAAUGCGUAGAUAUAGGAAGGAACACCAGUGGCGAAGGCGACCACCUGGCCAAAUACUGACGCUGAGGUGCGAAAGCGUGGGGAGCAAACAGG